RNAcentral lists this ribosomal RNA (2934 nucleotides) under Bacillus velezensis. Its description in RNAcentral is "23S ribosomal RNA". It matches the Rfam family "Bacterial large subunit ribosomal RNA". Lineage: Bacteria; Bacillati; Bacillota; Bacilli; Caryophanales; Bacillaceae. The record is from RNAcentral.
CGGUUAAGUUAGAAAGGGCGCACGGUGGAUGCCUUGGCACUAGGAGCCGAUGAAGGACGGGACGAACACCGAUAUGCUUCGGGGAGCUGUAAGCAAGCUUUGAUCCGGAGAUUUCCGAAUGGGGAAACCCACCACUCGUAAUGGAGUGGUAUCCAUAUCUGAAUACAUAGGAUAUGAGAAGGCAGACCCGGGGAACUGAAACAUCUAAGUACCCGGAGGAAGAGAAAGCAAAUGCGAUUCCCUGAGUAGCGGCGAGCGAAACGGGACCAGCCCAAACCAAGAGGCUUGCCUCUUGGGGUUGUAGGACACUCUGUACGGAGUUACAAAGGAACGAGGUAGAUGAAGAGGUCUGGAAAGGCCCGCCAUAGGAGGUAACAGCCCUGUAGUCAAAACUUCGUUCUCUCCUGAGUGGAUCCUGAGUACGGCGGAACACGUGAAAUUCCGUCGGAAUCCGGGAGGACCAUCUCCCAAGGCUAAAUACUCCCUAGUGACCGAUAGUGAACCAGUACCGUGAGGGAAAGGUGAAAAGCACCCCGGAAGGGGAGUGAAAGAGAUCCUGAAACCGUGUGCCUACAAGUAGUCAGAGCCCGUUAACGGGUGAUGGCGUGCCUUUUGUAGAAUGAACCGGCGAGUUACGAUCCCGUGCAAGGUUAAGCAGAAGAUGCGGAGCCGCAGCGAAAGCGAGUCUGAAUAGGGCGAAUUGAGUACGUGGUCGUAGACCCGAAACCAGGUGAUCUACCCAUGUCCAGGGUGAAGUUCAGGUAACACUGAAUGGAGGCCCGAACCCACGCACGUUGAAAAGUGCGGGGAUGAGGUGUGGGUAGGGGUGAAAUGCCAAUCGAACCUGGAGAUAGCUGGUUCUCUCCGAAAUAGCUUUAGGGCUAGCCUCAAGGUAAGAGUCUCGGAGGUAGAGCACUGAUUGGACUAGGGGCCCCUACCGGGUUACCGAAUUCAGUCAAACUCCGAAUGCCGAUGACUUAUCCUUGGGAGUCAGACUGCGAGUGAUAAGAUCCGUAGUCGAAAGGGAAACAGCCCAGACCGCCAGCUAAGGUCCCAAAGUAUACGUUAAGUGGAAAAGGAUGUGGAGUUGCUUAGACAACCAGGAUGUUGGCUUAGAAGCAGCCACCAUUUAAAGAGUGCGUAAUAGCUCACUGGUCGAGUGACUCUGCGCCGAAAAUGUACCGGGGCUAAACGUAUCACCGAAGCUGCGGACUGUUCUUCGAACAGUGGUAGGAGAGCGUUCUAAGGGCUGUGAAGCAAGACCGGAAGGACUUGUGGAGCGCUUAGAAGUGAGAAUGCCGGUAUGAGUAGCGAAAGAGGGGUGAGAAUCCCCUCCACCGAAUGCCUAAGGUUUCCUGAGGAAGGCUCGUCCGCUCAGGGUUAGUCGGGACCUAAGCCGAGGCCGAAAGGCGUAGGCGAUGGAUAACAGGUUGAUAUUCCUGUACCACCUCCUCACCAUUUGAGCAAUGGGGGGACGCAGGAGGAUAGGGUAAGCGCGGUAUUGGAUAUCCGCGUCCAAGCAGUUAGGCUGGGAAAUAGGCAAAUCCGUUUCCCGUGAAGGCUGAGCUGUGAUGGCGAGCGAAUUAUAGUAGCGAAGUUCCUGAUUCCACACUGCCAAGAAAAGCCUCUAGCGAGGUGAGAGGUGCCCGUACCGCAAACCGACACAGGUAGGCGAGGAGAGAAUCCUAAGGUGAUCGAGAGAACUCUCGUUAAGGAACUCGGCAAAAUGACCCCGUAACUUCGGGAGAAGGGGUGCUCUGUUAGGGUGCAAGCCCGAGAGAGCCGCAGUGAAUAGGCCCAGGCGACUGUUUAGCAAAAACACAGGUCUCUGCGAAGCCGUAAGGCGAAGUAUAGGGGCUGACGCCUGCCCGGUGCUGGAAGGUUAAGAGGAGCGCUUAGCGUAAGCGAAGGUGCGAAUUGAAGCCCCAGUAAACGGCGGCCGUAACUAUAACGGUCCUAAGGUAGCGAAAUUCCUUGUCGGGUAAGUUCCGACCCGCACGAAAGGCGCAACGAUCUGGGCACUGUCUCAACGAGAGACUCGGUGAAAUUAUAGUACCUGUGAAGAUGCAGGUUACCCGCGACAGGACGGAAAGACCCCGUGGAGCUUUACUGCAGCCUGAUAUUGAAUGUUGGUACAGCUUGUACAGGAUAGGUAGGAGCCUUGGAAACCGGAGCGCCAGCUUCGGUGGAGGCAUCGGUGGGAUACUACCCUGGCUGUAUUGACCUUCUAACCCGCCGCCCUUAUCGGGCGGGGAGACAGUGUCAGGUGGGCAGUUUGACUGGGGCGGUCGCCUCCUAAAAGGUAACGGAGGCGCCCAAAGGUUCCCUCAGAAUGGUUGGAAAUCAUUCGCAGGGUGUAAAGGCACAAGGGAGCUUGACUGCGAGACCUACAAGUCGAGCAGGGACGAAAGUCGGGCUUAGUGAUCCGGUGGUUCCGCAUGGAAGGGCCAUCGCUCAACGGAUAAAAGCUACCCCGGGGAUAACAGGCUUAUCUCCCCCAAGAGUCCACAUCGACGGGGAGGUUUGGCACCUCGAUGUCGGCUCAUCGCAUCCUGGGGCUGUAGUCGGUCCCAAGGGUUGGGCUGUUCGCCCAUUAAAGCGGUACGCGAGCUGGGUUCAGAACGUCGUGAGACAGUUCGGUCCCUAUCCGUCGCGGGCGCAGGAAAUUUGAGAGGAGCUGUCCUUAGUACGAGAGGACCGGGAUGGACGCACCGCUGGUGUACCAGUUGUUCUGCCAAGGGCAUCGCUGGGUAGCUAUGUGCGGACGGGAUAAGUGCUGAAAGCAUCUAAGCAUGAAGCCCCCCUCAAGAUGAGAUUUCCCAUUCCGCAAGGAAGUAAGAUCCCUGAAAGAUGAUCAGGUUGAUAGGUCUGAGGUGGAAGUGUGGCGACACAUGGAGCUGACAGAUACUAAUCGAUCGAGGACUUAACCAAUUU